AUUGAACGCUGGCGGCAGGCCUAACACAUGCAAGUCGAGCGGAUGAAGGGAGCUUGCUCCUGGAUUCAGCGGCGGACGGGUGAGUAAUGCCUAGGAAUCUGCCUGGUAGUGGGGGAUAACGUCCGGAAACGGGCGCUAAUACCGCAUACGUCCUGAGGGAGAAAGUGGGGGAUCUUCGGACCUCACGCUAUCAGAUGAGCCUAGGUCGGAUUAGCUAGUUGGUGGGGUAAAGGCCUACCAAGGCGACGAUCCGUAACUGGUCUGAGAGGAUGAUCAGUCACACUGGAACUGAGACACGGUCCAGACUCCUACGGGAGGCCGCAGUGGGGAAUAUUGGACAAUGGGCGAGAGCCUGAUCCAGCCAUGCCGCGUGUGUGAAGACGGUCUUCGGAUUGUAAAGCACUGUAAGUUGGGAGAAAGGGCAGUAAGUUAAUACCUUGCUGUUUUGACGUUACCAACAGAAUAAGCACCGGCUAACUUCGUG
This 484-nucleotide ribosomal RNA is filed under the name uncultured bacterium. RNAcentral's name for it is "partial 16S ribosomal RNA". It matches the Rfam family "Bacterial small subunit ribosomal RNA", at positions 30 to 507 of the family's 1533-position model. The record is from RNAcentral.